AUGAGGAGUAGCGUGGUGGAGUAUCACCGGAGCGUGACCAGCAAAGGCUACUGGAGCUUGAUCUACAGCGGCGACCACGACAUGACCGUGCCUUUCAUUGGCACCCAGGCGUGGAUCCGCUCUCUGGGCUUCGGCGUCGUGGAUGAGUGGAGGCCCUGGCAUGUCAACGGCCAAGUUGCUGGGUUUACAACGUUGUAUGCAAAUAACCUCACUUUUGCAACAGUCAAGGGUGGUGGUCACACUGCUCCAGAGUACAUGCCCAAGGAAUGCUUGGCCAUGGUCGAUAGAUGGCUCUCCGGCCGGCCUCUCUAA
RNAcentral lists this ribosomal RNA (312 nucleotides) under Triticum aestivum (bread wheat). Its description in RNAcentral is "partial small subunit ribosomal RNA". Lineage: Eukaryota; Viridiplantae; Streptophyta; Magnoliopsida; Poales; Poaceae. The record is from RNAcentral.